Molecule: small nuclear RNA, 100 nt
Filed under: Octodon degus (degu)
Lineage: Eukaryota; Metazoa; Chordata; Mammalia; Rodentia; Octodontidae
Source: RNAcentral
GUGCUCACUUUGGCAGCACUUAUACUAAAAUUGAAAUGAUAGAUUAGCAUGGGCCUUGCUCAAGGAUGACAUGCAAAUUCAUGAAGCAGUUCAUAUUUUC